Molecule: ribosomal RNA, 253 nt
Filed under: uncultured bacterium
Lineage: Bacteria
Description: partial 16S ribosomal RNA
Rfam family: Bacterial small subunit ribosomal RNA
Source: RNAcentral
GACGUAGGUGGCGAGCGUUGUUCGGAAUCACUGGGCAUAAAGCGCACGUAGGCGGCCAAGUAAGUCAGGUGUGAAAUACCUCGGCUCAACCGAGGAACUGCGCCUGAUACUGCUUGGCUUGAGGUCCGGAGGGGAGAGUGGAAUAUCCGGUGUACCGGUGAAAUGGGCAGAUAUCGGAUAGAACACCAGUGGCGAAGGCGGCCGACUGGGCCGUUCCUGACGCUGAGACCCGAAAGCUAGGGUAGCGAACCGG